Long non-coding RNA from Mustela erminea (ermine), 1231 nucleotides. RefSeq lists it as uncharacterized. The transcript has 3 exons. Lineage: Eukaryota; Metazoa; Chordata; Mammalia; Carnivora; Mustelidae. The record is from RefSeq and is a predicted model, not a curated record.
AACAGCUGUCUGGCUUUAAAACAACAAAACAACUACAACAACAACACACCGCCUGUGGACACAUGGCCAGGAGGAGGCGCGCGUCCCGGUUAAUUUCUCCAUUCUGGCUUUUGGAAUCCCGAGUUUGUUCAAAGGGUACCAGUUAUUUUCUAUUUUUCUAAGGUAAACAUUACUAGGAUGCUAAGAUAAUUAUGACUGCAGGCUUAGAUCCAGAGUCUUUGCAAAAAGACAGUAGUCGUGUCUUUUUCUUCUGGACCUGUUGGGUACCAGGUACCAGGGACUGUGCUAGGUGCCCAUCCCAUGCAGGAAAUCCUUCUGAAGGCCUUCAAUCGACGUCCACACCUUCAACUAUUUCUUUGCCUGAUAACCCAUCUUUAGAGAUUUCCUCUCUUUGAUUUCGUGUUAUUUUUUACUCUCAAUAACACUGAAGCAAGUGAUCAAAAUGCAAAUGCAGGAGAAACAUCUCAUUUAAGAGAGUGAGUCUAUGUCUCUAUGCAGAGCAGGCCUUUGCAAGACCCUUAAAACACCCUUAACAUUUGCUCUUCUUUUUUGCCUUUUCAUUGCAAUCAGGGCUGAUAAAAAUGGGUGAAUAACUUUCUGAGGGGACGAACCUUCCACCUACUUGCCUCCCCACAACUUAGACAAUAGAGUUCAGGUGUUCCAAGUGGGUGUAGAAACCACCAUUCAUUCCAAAACUUGGUGCAAGGACAGCUUUACCCGGAUUCUCUCCAUCAUCUAGGUGCCUUCCCCCUACUUUUCCCGUGACAGAAUUUGCAGUGCGACAGAAGUCAGCUUGGCCUUCACUCAUUUUUUUCCUCCCUGUUCAUUUUCCAUGUAGGUGUGGGUGUAGGUGUGGAAUUUUAGUGACAGAAUGUAGCCCAAUUCCAUAGCUCAGAUCCAUGGACUGGGCAUGACUGACUGAACUGGGAGUGACUGGUUUGUCUGGGAGCUUUCAACCCUGAGCUGGGAGUACUGGUUUCCAUUAAUGCUAGAUUGGGGAUUACAUUUUACAACACUCAGUUUCCACAGAGGCUACAUGAAAAUCAAGACUAUUAUUUUAAAAUUCACAUGGCAUGCUUACCUGGCAGGGGAGAUACCAUGAUCACUAAGGUGGUUUUCCCAGGGUGAGGCUUAUCCAUUGCAAUCCGGUUGUGCCCACCCCUGCGAUUUCCCCAAAUGUGGGAAACUCGACUGCAUAAUUUGUGGUAGAAAUCGGAAUAGUGUCGUGUAA